RNAcentral lists this ribosomal RNA (477 nucleotides) under Bison bison (American bison). RNAcentral describes it as "partial small subunit ribosomal RNA". The record is from RNAcentral. Lineage: Eukaryota; Metazoa; Chordata; Mammalia; Artiodactyla; Bovidae.
CAUAGGUUUGGUCCCAGCCUUCCUGUUGACUCUUAAUAAACUUACACAUGCAAGCAUCUACACCCCAGUGAGAAUGCCCUCUAGGUUGUUAAAACUAAGAGGAGCUGGCAUCAAGCACACACCCCGUAGCUCACGACGCCUUGCUUAACCACACCCCCACGGGAAACAGCAGUGACAAAAAUUAAGCCAUAAACGAAAGUUUGACUAAGUUAUAUUAAUCAGGGUUGGUAAAUCUCGUGCCAGCCACCGCGGUCAUACGAUUAACCCAAGCCAACAGGAAUACGGCGUAAAACGUGUUAAAGCACCACAUCAAAUAGGGUUAAAUUUUAAUUAAGCUGUAAAAAGCCAUGAUUAAAAUAAAAAUAAAUGACGAAAGUAACCCUACAACAGCCGAUGCACUAUAGCUAAGACCCAAACUGGGAUUAGAUACCCCAUUAUGCUUAGCCCUAAACACAGAUAAUUACAUAAACAAAAUUA